GACGAACGCUGGCGGCGUGCUUAACACAUGCAAGUCGAACGGAAAGGUCUGCUUUCCCUUGUGGAUUGCGGGUACUCGAGUGGCGAACGGGUGAGUAACACGUGAGUGAUCUGCCCCCAACUUGGGUAUAAGCCUGGGAAACUGGGUCUAAUUCCCGAUAGGACUGCAGGGUGGUGCCUGUGGUGGAAAACGAUUUUCUAGUGGUUGGGGAUGAGCUCGCGGCCUAUCAGCUUGUUGGUGGGGUAAUGGCCUACCAAGGCGGCGACGGGUAGCCGGCCUGAGAGGGUGGACGGCCACAUUGGGACUGAGAUACGGCCCAGACUCCUACGGGAGGCAGCAGUGGGGAAUAUUGCACAAUGGGCGGAAGCCUGAUGCAGCGACGCCGCGUGGGGGAUGACGGCCUUCGGGUUGUAAACUCCUUUCGACCGCGAGGAAGCCACCUGGUUGGAAGGGUGGUGACGGUAGUGGUAGAAGAAGCACCGGCUAACUACGUG
This 494-nucleotide ribosomal RNA is filed under the name uncultured bacterium. RNAcentral's name for it is "partial 16S ribosomal RNA". It matches the Rfam family "Bacterial small subunit ribosomal RNA", at positions 28 to 507 of the family's 1533-position model. The record is from RNAcentral.